This 468-nucleotide ribosomal RNA is filed under the name uncultured bacterium. RNAcentral describes it as "partial 16S ribosomal RNA". It matches the Rfam family "Bacterial small subunit ribosomal RNA", at positions 28 to 507 of the family's 1533-position model. The record is from RNAcentral.
GACGAACGCUGGCGGCGUGCUUAACACAUGCAAGUCGAACGGAAAGGCCCUGCUUUUGUGGGGUGCUCGAGUGGCGAACGGGUGAGUAACACGUGAGUAACCUGCCCUUGACUUUGGGAUAACUUCAGGAAACUGGGGCUAAUACAGGAUAGGAGCUCCUGCUGCAUGGUGGGGGUUGGAAAGUUUCGGCGGUUGGGGAUGGACUCGCGGCUUAUCAGCUUGUUGGUGGGGUAGUGGCUUACCAAGGCUUUGACGGGUAGCCGGCAUGAGAGGGUGACCGGCCACAUUGGGACUGAGAUACGGCCCAGACUCCUACGGGAGGCAGCAGUGGGGAAUAUUGCACAAUGGGCGGAAGCCUGAUGCAGCAACGCCGCGUGCGGGAUGACGGCCUUCGGGUUGUAAACCGCUUUCGCCUGUGACGAAGCGUGAGUGACGGUAAUGGGUAAAGAAGCACCGGCUAACUACGUG